RNAcentral lists this ribosomal RNA (1381 nucleotides) under uncultured bacterium. RNAcentral describes it as "bacterial SSU rRNA". It matches the Rfam family "Bacterial small subunit ribosomal RNA". The record is from RNAcentral.
GAGUUUGAUCCUGGCUCAGGAUGAACGCUGGCGGCAUGCCUAAUACAUGCAAGUCGAACGAGAUGGUUUACCAUCUAGUGGCGAACGGGUGAGUAAUGCAUAGAUAACUUGCUCUUAAGACGAGGAUAACAGUUGGAAACGACUGCUAAUACUGGAUAGUAUAUAGAUACUCCUGUAUUUAUAUUUAAAGGUGCUUCAAAGCACCACUUAAGAAGAGGUCUAUGUCGCAUUAGCUAGUUGGUGGGAUAAGAGCUCACCAAGGCGACGAUGCGUAGCUGUGCUGAGAGGAAGGUCCCCCACACUGGUACUGAGACACGGACCAGACUCCUACGGGAGGCAGCAGUGAGGAAUAUUGGUCAAUGGACGCAAGUCUGAACCAGCCAUGUCGCGUGCAGGAAGACUGCCCUAUGGGUUGUAAACUGCUUUUAUACGGGAGCAAUAAGGGUUACGAGUAAUCCGAUGAGAGUAUUGUAUGAAUAAGGAUCGGCUAACUCCGUGCCAGCAGCCGCGGUAAUACGGAGGAUCCGAGCGUUAUCCGGAAUUAUUGGGUUUAAAGGGUGCGUAGGCGGCCAUUUAAGUCAGCGGUGAAAUUUUGCAGCUUAACUGUAACAGUGCCGUUGAUACUGUUUGGCUAGGAUUUGGUUGUAGUGUGCGGAAUGUGUGGUGUAGCGGUGAAAUGCUUAGAUAUCACACAGAACACCGAUUGCGAAGGCAGCACACUAAGUCAUUAUUGACGCUGAGGCACGAAAGUGUGGGGAUCAAACAGGAUUAGAUACCCUGGUAGUCCACACUGUAAACGAUGAUAACUCGCUGUCGGCGAUACACAGUCGGUGGCCAAGCGAAAGCAUUAAGUUAUCCACCUGGGGAGUACGACCGCAAGGUUGAAACUCAAAGGAAUUGACGGGGGCCCGCACAAGCGGAGGAACAUGUGGUUUAAUUCGAUGAUACGCGAGGAACCUUACCCGGGCUCGAACGGUGCAUGAAUAUACGAGAGAUUGUAUAGUCCUUCGGGACAUGUAUCGAGGUGCUGCAUGGUUGUCGUCAGCUCGUGCCGUGAGGUGUCGGCUUAAGUGCCAUAACGAGCGCAACCCUCGUCAUUAGUUGCCAUCAGGUCAAGCUGGGGACUUUAAUGAGACUGCCACCGUAAGGUGUGAGGAAGGGGGGGAUGACGUCAAAUCAGCACGGCCCUUAUGUCCGGGGCGACACACGUGUUACAAUGGGAGGUACAGAGGGCAGCUAUCCGGUGACGGAAUGCUAAUCUCCAAAACCUUUCUCAGUUCGGAUUGGAGUCUGCAACUCGACUCCAUGAAGGUGGAUUCGCUAGUAAUCGCGCAUCAGCCAUGGCGCGCCGAAAAGGGUCCCGGGCCGUGUACACACCGCC